CCACGUUGAUAGCUUCGGAGAGUAUCCCGAAUAUCUAGGAGCGGGUUGGAAAAAUCUUGGCGACCUCUCCAAUAAUGGGGAGAUCUUGGAGGUUUGUGUUAGAAGUUUUGCGGUGGCGAGCCAAGGAUCAUGGUGAGUAUCUAAACUAGCUUCUCCUCGACUGUCGGGCUCGUAGGAUCUUACUUCCUGAUGUGGUUUUACUUGUUUCGUCUCUAGGUAUUCCUUUGAGGAAGGCGACUUCACAAGUGCUGAUCAAGCUCCCAACUUCUGCUGACUCUGCCAGGGAAAGAGUCUGGCAAUUGUCUACUUUGAAAAGAAGUGCAGACUCACUAUUUUCCACUCUGGCAAGCCUUCCAC
RNAcentral lists this long non-coding RNA (357 nucleotides) under Nicotiana tabacum (common tobacco). Its description in RNAcentral is "long non-coding RNA (NTAB_LNC013784)". Lineage: Eukaryota; Viridiplantae; Streptophyta; Magnoliopsida; Solanales; Solanaceae. The record is from RNAcentral.